RNAcentral lists this non-coding RNA (30 nucleotides) under Homo sapiens (human). Lineage: Eukaryota; Metazoa; Chordata; Mammalia; Primates; Hominidae. The record is from RNAcentral.
GACGCCUUCACGAGUGUCUUCUCAUUCCCA